AUUGAACGCUGGCGGCAUGCUUUACACAUGCAAGUCGAACGGCAGCGCGGGCUUCGGCCUGGCGGCGAGUGGCGAACGGGUGAGUAAUACAUCGGAACGUGCCCAGUAGUGGGGGAUAGCUCGGCGAAAGCCGGCUUAAUACCGCAUACGACCUGAGGGUGAAAGCGGGGGAUCUUCGGACCUCGCGCUAUUUGAGCGGCCGAUGGCAGAUUAGCUAGUUGGUGGGGUAAAGGCCUACCAAGGCGACGAUCUGUAGCUGGUCUGAGAGGACGACCAGCCACACUGGGACUGAGACACGGCCCAGACUCCUACGGGAGGCAGCAGUGGGGAAUUUUGGACAAUGGGCGAAAGCCUGAUCCAGCAAUGCCGCGUGUGUGAUGAAGGCCUUCGGGUUGUAAAGCACUUUUGGCGGGAACGAAAAGGACUGUGCCAAUACCACGGUUCGAUGACGGUACCCGCAGAAUAAGCACCGGCUAACUACGUG
This 484-nucleotide ribosomal RNA is filed under the name uncultured bacterium. RNAcentral's name for it is "partial 16S ribosomal RNA". It matches the Rfam family "Bacterial small subunit ribosomal RNA", at positions 29 to 507 of the family's 1533-position model. The record is from RNAcentral.